CCACCCCUUCCUUUUCUUGUCUGUGUGGUCGACGGUCGGAUUCGUCGAAAAAUUGAGAUCAAAGAAGCCCCUGUUCUACCCCUUCCCAUUUGGCUAUUUCUGGCAUCGGAGGUCAUCACCGACUGCCAGUUUGGUUUUCUCCGGGCUGCACCACCGCAGCUCCUGCUGCUGUCGGCCACUAGUCGAUAGUCAUGGCCCCCAGUCUGAAGAACAAGAAGGGACCUCACGGUCCCUUGUUCUGCCAAAUGAAAACCCACGGG
Molecule: long non-coding RNA, 260 nt
Filed under: Elaeis guineensis (African oil palm)
Lineage: Eukaryota; Viridiplantae; Streptophyta; Magnoliopsida; Arecales; Arecaceae
Description: long non-coding RNA (EGUI_LNC060975)
Source: RNAcentral